GACGAACGCUGGCGGCGUGCCUAAUACAUGCAAGUAGAACGCUGAAGGAGGAGCUUGCUUCUCUGGAUGAGUUGCGAACGGGUGAGUAACGCGUAGGUAACCUGCCUGGUAGCGGGGGAUAACUAUUGGAAACGAUAGCUAAUACCGCAUAAUAGUAGAUGUUGCAUGACAUUUGCUUAAAAGGUGCAAUUGCAUCACUACCAGAUGGACCUGCGUUGUAUUAGCUAGUUGGUGGGGUAACGGCUCACCAAGGCGACGAUACAUAGCCGACCUGAGAGGGUGAUCGGCCACACUGGGACUGAGACACGGCCCAGACGCCUACGGGAGGCAGCAGUAGGGAAUCUUCGGCAAUGGACGGAAGUCUGACCGAGCAACGCCGCGUGAGUGAAGAAGGGUUUCGGAUCGUAAAGCUCUGUUGUAAGAGAAGAACGAGUGUGAGAGUGGAAAGUUCACACUGUGACGGUAGCUUACCAGAAAGGGACGGCUAACUACGUG
RNAcentral lists this ribosomal RNA (495 nucleotides) under uncultured bacterium. Its description in RNAcentral is "partial 16S ribosomal RNA". It matches the Rfam family "Bacterial small subunit ribosomal RNA", at positions 28 to 507 of the family's 1533-position model. The record is from RNAcentral.